UUUUAUAUACAACCAAAUCGAAUUGUGCAUAUUGAUGGUGCUAAGGCUAAAAAGGUAAAAAUACCUGAAUUCAACCAAGGGACACUUCAAUACGAACUAAUUAUUCGAUCCAACACGACAAUAAAUACGUUGGGUAAUUUUGACCUAAAAAAAACAUUCAAGCGGUGCAACCACAAUUAGUGGAAUUGUGUGAUGUACCUCAACAUCUUAAUGCAUGCAUUAUUAUACGUGGAUACAUUAAAACAA
This is a non-coding RNA of Nylanderia fulva, 246 nucleotides long. Lineage: Eukaryota; Metazoa; Arthropoda; Insecta; Hymenoptera; Formicidae. The record is from RefSeq and is a predicted model, not a curated record.